GUGUCUGUCUCAAGAAUUACAAAAAAUAAAGCACAAAACUUUCAACAACGGAUCUCUUGGUUCUGGCAUCGAUGAAGAACGCAGCGAAAUGCGAUAAGUAAUGCGAAUUGCAGAAUUCAGUGAGUCAUCGAAUCUUUGAACGCACAUUGCGCCCUUU
RNAcentral lists this ribosomal RNA (157 nucleotides) under Metulocladosporiella musae. RNAcentral's name for it is "5.8S ribosomal RNA". The stretch from base 37 to 157 matches the Rfam family "5.8S ribosomal RNA", at positions 1 to 121 of the family's 154-position model. Rfam says of the family: 5.8S ribosomal RNA (5.8S rRNA) is a component of the large subunit of the eukaryotic ribosome. It is transcribed by RNA polymerase I as part of the 45S precursor that also contains 18S and 28S rRNA. The record is from RNAcentral. Lineage: Eukaryota; Fungi; Ascomycota; Eurotiomycetes; Chaetothyriales; Herpotrichiellaceae.